Molecule: ribosomal RNA, 517 nt
Filed under: uncultured bacterium
Lineage: Bacteria
Description: bacterial SSU rRNA
Rfam family: Bacterial small subunit ribosomal RNA
Source: RNAcentral
AGAACUUAGCAGAGAUGCUUUGGUGCCUUCGGGAACUCUGAGACAGGUGCUGCAUGGCUGUCGUCAGCUCGUGUUGUGAAAUGUUGGGUUAAGUCCCGCAACGAGCGCAACCCUUAUCCUUUGUUGCCAGCGGUUAGGCCGGGAACUCAAAGGAGACUGCCAGUGAUAAACUGGAGGAAGGUGGGGAUGACGUCAAGUCAUCAUGGCCCUUACGAGUAGGGCUACACACGUGCUACAAUGGCGCAUACAAAGAGAAGCGACCUCGCGAGAGCAAGCGGACCUCAUAAAGUGCGUCGUAGUCCGGAUUGGAGUCUGCAACUCGACUCCAUGAAGUCGGAAUCGCUAGUAAUUGUGGAUCAGAAUGCCACGGUGAAUACGUUCCCGGGCCUUGUACACACCGCCCGUCACACCAUGGGAGUGGGUUGCAAAAGAAGUAGGUAGCUUAACCUUCGGGAGGGCGCUUACCACUUUGUGAUUCAUGACUGGGGUGAAGUCGUAACAAGGUAAGCGUAGUGCU